RNAcentral lists this ribosomal RNA (406 nucleotides) under uncultured bacterium. RNAcentral describes it as "partial 16S ribosomal RNA". It matches the Rfam family "Bacterial small subunit ribosomal RNA", at positions 30 to 526 of the family's 1533-position model. The record is from RNAcentral.
AUUGAACGCUGGCGGCAGGCCUAACACAUGCAAGUCGAGCGAGCGGCGGACGGGUGAGUAAUGUCUGGGAAAAUGUCUGAUGGAGGGGGAUAACUACUGGAAACGGUAGCUCAUACCGCAUACCAUCAGAUCUGCCCAGAUGGGAUUAGCUAGUAGGUGGGGUAACGGCUCACCUAGACGACGAUCCCUAGCUGGUCUGAGAGGAGGACCAGCCACACUGGAACUGAGACACGGUCCAGACUCCUACGGGAGGCAGCAGUGGGGAAUAUUGCACAAUGGGCGCAAGCCUGAUGCAGCCAUGCCGCGUGUGUGAAGAAGGCCUUCGGGUUGUAAAGCACUUUCAGCGGGGAGGCGUUACCCGCAGAAGAAGCACCGGCUAACUCCGUGCCAGCAGCCGCGGUAAUAC